UGAUUCUGUUUGUGCACAUGGGCUUAAAU
This 29-nucleotide non-coding RNA is filed under the name Mus musculus (house mouse). The record is from RNAcentral. Lineage: Eukaryota; Metazoa; Chordata; Mammalia; Rodentia; Muridae.